UACGUAGGGAGCAAGCGUUGUCCGGAAUUACUGGGCGUAAAGGGCGCGUAGGCGGAUAAUUAAGUCAGGUGUGAAAACUCUGGGCUCAACUUGGAGAUUGCACUUGAAACUGGUUAUCUUGAGGGCAGGAGAGGAAAGUGGAAUUCCUAGUGUAGCGGUGAAAUGCGUAGAUAUUAGGAGGAACACCAGUGGCGAAGGCGACUUUCUGGACUGUACCUGACGCUGAGGCGCGAAAGCGUGGGGAGCGAACGGGAUUAGAUACCCCGGUAGUCCACGCCGUAAACGAUGGAUACUAGGUGUAGGAGGUAUCGACCCCUUCUGUGCCGCCGUUAACACAAUAAGUAUCCCGCCUGGGGAGUACGGCCGCAAGGUUGAA
RNAcentral lists this ribosomal RNA (376 nucleotides) under uncultured bacterium. RNAcentral describes it as "bacterial SSU rRNA". It matches the Rfam family "Bacterial small subunit ribosomal RNA", at positions 524 to 898 of the family's 1533-position model. The record is from RNAcentral.